RNAcentral lists this ribosomal RNA (509 nucleotides) under uncultured bacterium. RNAcentral's name for it is "bacterial SSU rRNA". It matches the Rfam family "Bacterial small subunit ribosomal RNA", at positions 19 to 518 of the family's 1533-position model. The record is from RNAcentral.
CUGGCUCAGGAUGAACGCUAGCUACAGGCUUAACACAUGCAAGUCGAGGGGCAGCGGGAAGGAAGCUUGCUUCUUGCCGGCGACCGGCGCACGGGUGAGUAACGCGUAUCCAACCUGCCCGCGGCUCAGGGAUAGCCUCGUGAAAACGAGAUUAAUACCUGAUGGUCUUGGAGACUGACAUCGGUUUCCAAGUAAAGAUUUAUCGGCAGCGGAUGGGGAUGCGUUCCAUUAGGUUGUUGGCGGGGUAACGGCCCACCAAGCCGACGAUGGAUAGGGGUUCUGAGAGGAAGGUCCCCCACAUUGGAACUGAGACACGGUCCAAACUCCUACGGGAGGCAGCAGUGAGGAAUAUUGGUCAAUGGGCGAGAGCCUGAACCAGCCAAGUAGCGUGAGGGAAUGACUGCCCUAUGGGUUGUAAACCUCUUUUAUACGGGAAUAAAAUGCGCCACGUGUGGUGUUUUGCAUGUACCGUAAGAAUAAGCAUCGGCUAAUUCCGUGCCAGCAGCAGC